NNGGGGGUCGCUGGGAUGAACUGGGAGGGACUGGGAUGAACUGGGAGAGCACUGGGAUGAACUGGGAUGAACUGGGACGAACUGGGAGGGCUUGGUCCUUACUGGGAGGGACUGGGGUGAACUGGGAGCAGGGAGGUGCCGGGGGGGUGGGGGAUGACACAGAACAUGGGGUCUGUCCACGCACACGCCUCGUACACACGUGUGCACGCCUUGCACACGUCUCACGCCUCGCACACACGUGCACACGCCUCGCACACGCCUCGUGCACGUCUCACACCUCGCACACACGUGUGCACGGCUCGCACGCACCUCACAUGUGCCUUGCACACGCCUCGCACACGCCUCGUGCACGUCUCACACCUCGCACACACGUGUGCACGGCUCGCACGCACCUCACAUGUGCCUUGCACACGCCUCGCACACGCCUCGUGCACGUCUCACACCUCGCACACACGUGUGCACGGCUCGCACGCACCUCACAUGUGCCUUGCACACGCCUCGCACACGCCUCGUGCACGUCUCACACCUCGCACACACGUGUGCACGGCUCGCACGCACCUCACAUGUGCCUUGCACACGCCUCGCACACGCCUCGUGCACGUCUCACACCUCACACACACGUGUACACGGCUCGUACGCACUCCACAUGUGGCUUGCACACGCCUCACACGCACCUCACGCACGCCUUGCACACGCCUCAUGCACAUCUCACACCUCACACACGUGUGCACGGCUCACACACGCCUCACACGUGCCUCACACACACGUCUCACACCUCGCACACACGUGUGCACAGCUCACACACGCCUCCAGCCCCCUACACGCCUCGCGCACGGCUGGCACACACAUGUGCACGGCUGGCACACGCCUGGCACACACGUGUGCAGACGCCUCGCACACGCCUGGAACACGCCAACCUCCUGCUUCUGCCCAGCAGAAGCCCCGCUCACACGCGUGUGCUCUGCGGGGGGGGUUGCGUGUGUGUCCGUGUCCGUGCACACGCGUGUGUGGGGAUGGGGGGGGUGUCUGUGUGUUGCCCCCCCCGAAAA
This 1049-nucleotide long non-coding RNA is filed under the name Calidris pugnax (ruff). RNAcentral's name for it is "lncRNA (ENSCPUG00000013950.1)". Lineage: Eukaryota; Metazoa; Chordata; Aves; Charadriiformes; Scolopacidae. The record is from RNAcentral.